GACAGGUUAACGAGUUACACCGCUAAGGGCAGCUUUCAGGGCCGGGCACGAAUUUCCCUCGAAAACCGGCAUACCGGCAACGGUAUCGUGAGUUCGAAUCUCACCCUGUCCG
This 112-nucleotide transfer RNA is filed under the name Gemmatimonas aurantiaca T-27. RNAcentral describes it as "tRNA-Und (NNN) (tRNA-Und-NNN-1-1)". Lineage: Bacteria; Pseudomonadati; Gemmatimonadota; Gemmatimonadia; Gemmatimonadales; Gemmatimonadaceae. The record is from RNAcentral.